RNAcentral lists this ribosomal RNA (479 nucleotides) under uncultured Alphaproteobacteria bacterium. RNAcentral's name for it is "bacterial SSU rRNA". It matches the Rfam family "Bacterial small subunit ribosomal RNA", at positions 1 to 528 of the family's 1533-position model. Lineage: Bacteria; Pseudomonadati; Pseudomonadota; Alphaproteobacteria. The record is from RNAcentral.
UAGUGAGUUUGAUCCUGGCUCAGAGCGAACGCUGGCGGCAGGCCUAACACAUGCAAGUCGAACGAACUCUUCGGAGUUAGUGGCGGACGGGUGAGUAACACGUGGGAAUCUGCCCUUGGGUUCGGAAUAACAGUUAGAAAUGACUGCUAAUACCGGAUGAUGUCUUCGGACCAAAGAUUUAUCGCCAUUAGAUGGGCCCGCGUAAGAUUAGCUAGUUGGUGGGGUAAAGGCCUACCAAGGCGACGAUCUUUAGCUGGUCUGAGAGGAUGAUCAGCCACACUGGGACUGAGACACGGCCCAGACUCCUACUGGAGGCAGCAGUGGGGAAUAUUGGACAAUGGGCGAAAGCCUGACGGAGCAAGACCGCGUGAGGGGAGAAGGCUCUUGGGGUUGUAAACCGUCUUUUAGUUUGGAAGAAACCUGACGGUACCAAACGAUAAGCCUCGGCUAACUCCGUGCCAGCAGCCGCGGUAAUCUGA